CAGGCAACCCCGCGUGGAAGGCGUGGCCGCGGGAUACUGGCGGCAGCAACGCCGAGUCUGGGUGUACAGCAGGACGCGAUGGCUACGUGGGCCGAGCGGCUGGCGGGCGUGCGGGGAGUGCUGCUUGACAUCACUGGCGUGCUGUAUGACAGCGGCACAGGCGGCGGAGCCGCCAUUGCGGGCUCCGUGGAGGCGGUGGCGAGGUUAGUGGGCUCAACGCAGGGACUGUCGGGCUGUGCUGCUGCCGGGGGCGGGGCGUUCGCGCCGGACCCGCCUCCCCCGCACUGGUCCCGCCCCUCACGCUGGCUAGGAACCAGACUGAAGCUGUCCCCGUUGAAGGUGAGAUUCUGCACCAAUGAGUCCCAGAAGUCCCGGGGAGAGCUGGUGGGGUUGCUUCAGCGCCUGGGAUUUGACAUCUCAGAAGGGGAGGUGACCGCCCCUGCACCAGCCACCUGCCAGAUCCUGAAGGAGCGAGGCCUGCGGCCACACCUGCUCAUCCAUGACGGGGUCCGCUCAGAAUUUGAUGACAUCGACAUGGCCAACCCAAACUGUGUCGUGAUUGCGGAUGCUGGUGAAGGCUUUUCCUAUGAGAACAUGAACAGAGCCUUCCGAGUGCUCAUGGAGCUGGAAAACCCGGUGCUCAUAUCACUGGGGAAGGGACGCUACUACAAGGAGACCUCUGGCCUUAUGCUGGAUGUUGGAGCCUAUAUGAAGGCACUCGAGUAUGCCUGUGGUAUUGAGGCUGAAGUGGUCGGGAAACCUUCCCCUGAGUUCUUCAGGUCUGCCCUACAAGCCAUCGGGGUGGAAGCUCACCAGGCCAUCAUGAUUGGCGAUGACAUCGUGGGUGAUGUUGGCGGCGCCCAGCAGUGUGGGAUGAGAGCGCUGCAAGUGCGGACCGGAAAGUUCAGAUCCCAUUCGGGUCUCUUUCGUGACUCCCAGAGCUCCCGAGAGAGCUGUGAAGUCCCCUGGUGACCUCCAGGCUCCUUCAUCCCAUGCUCUACCCUGACCCAGCUCUGUCAGGAGCAGCGGUUCUGAAGCCCACAGGCAGCGGUUUCGUGUGCUUUUUCCUCGUGACAACACCCAGUUCACACUGUGGGGCAGCAGCUGAGGACCAGUGCCCCCAGAGUGCCAUCCUGCCAGGUGACCGGUGAUGCCCGUUACUGGUGAGGUUAGCACUGACUGCUUGAUGAUGACGGUGACUACCGUUGGAGGCCUGCCGAUGAGCAUCAUCCAGAAGUGAAGGCUGACGGGUACGUGGACAACCUUGCGGAGGCUGUGGACCUGCUGCUGCAGCACGUGGGCAAGUGACAGGCCUUCCGGAGCCGUGGACAAGUGCACCACCCUGUGCCCACACUUCUUCCCACUGCUGUGCCCCCCUCCCCCACGCUUCCAGGCCCCAGGCUACCCAAAGCUCUGCCCGCCCUGCCCUCUGCCCGCUGCUGGCAUGGGCAGGUGCAGGCAGUUCUGGGAUGCUUGUCCCUCGGCCAGAGCCAGCCCUCCCCUUCCUCAACGUCCCUCUACUAGUUGCCUGUCAGCAUUCCUCCCUCCCCAGCCUCUGGGCAGAGGAUUGUUCCCUACCUGUAUGGCCUGCUCACCUCCCUGGCCCAUGUCGUGUUUACAUUAGUGACCUCCAGGAAGGUAAAAGCAAGAGACCUGUCAGGCCUCCAGAAAAUGAAACCCUCAGACAUGGGCUGGAAGGUCCCCCUGAGUCCCUGAAUUCCUUCAGUCACCAUUGGCACAUGGUCUUUUGAUUGGCACCAUCCAGUUGGAUGAGGCAUGUUGACUCCUCUUUGAACUCUCUGAUGUGAGUGAGGAGCCUGCAGAAAACUCAGGGGCCUGCCCUGCACAAUGCGGGAAGCCCAAGCUGAGCCAGCCUGCCCACCACUCACAGCUCUACCUGGCCCCAGUCAGAGCGCCUGAUGAGCAGUCUGCCCCCUCCCCCUUCCCUCAGCAAACCAUGCCAGCCCACUGUUCUUCCUGUCCCCAUGAGUUACCCAGACACAGGCUGGGGAGCUCUCAGGAAACUGAAGAUACCCUCCCACAGAGCAGAAGUGUCCACCUCUACAGCAAGGCUGCGACACAGAAAGUACCUUGGAGUUGGGAUGGACAGACUUGAAUGUGCUGGAGUUAGGGUGGACAGACUUGAAUGUGCUGGAGUUGGGAUGGACAGACUUGAAUGGGCUGGAGUUGGGAUGGACAGACUUGAAUUGGCUGUGCCCAGUACACAGCACAAAUUAUGGUUCAAUAAACAUGACCUCAACAGUC
Non-coding RNA from Peromyscus maniculatus bairdii (prairie deer mouse), 2265 nucleotides. The record is from RefSeq and is a predicted model, not a curated record. Lineage: Eukaryota; Metazoa; Chordata; Mammalia; Rodentia; Cricetidae.